GACCAAGCGUACACGGUGGAUGCCCUGGCAGUCAGAGGCGAUGAAGGACGUGCUAAUCUGCGAAAAGCGCCGGUAAGGUGAUAUGAACCGUUAUAACCGGCGAUGUCCGAAUGGGGAAACCCAGUGUGACUCGUCACACUAUCAUUAACUGAAUCCAUAGGUUAAUGAGGCGAACCGGGGGAACUGAAACAUCUAAGUACCCCGAGGAAAAGAAAUCAACCGAGAUUCCCCCAGUAGCGGCGAGCGAACGGGGAGGAGCCCAGAGCCUGAAUCAGCAUGUGUGUUAGUGGAAGCGUCUGGAAAGGCGCGCGAUACAGGGUGAGAGCCCCGUACACAAAAGCGCACAUGCUGUGAGCUCGAUGAGUAGGGCGGGACACGUGGUAUCCUGUCUGAAUAUGGGGGGACCAUCCUCCAAGGCUAAAUACUCCUGACUGACCGAUAGUGAACCAGUACCGUGAGGGAAAGGCGAAAAGAACCCCGGCGAGGGGAGUGAAACAGAACCUGAAACCGUGUACGUACAAGCAGUGGGAGCCCCACCACUAAGCCAGUGGUGAACUCCACAUACGCAUCCUUUGCGGAAGAUGCGGUUAACGGAGCGAAAGCGACGUUCAACCUCAGAAGAAGCAGAGGGGGCUUAGUGGUGGGGUGACUGCGUACCUUUUGUAUAAUGGGUCAGCGACUUAUAUUCUGUAGCAAGGUUAACCGCAUAGGGGAGCCGAAGGGAAACCGAGUCUUAACCGGGCGUUAAGUUGCAGGGUAUAGACCCGAAACCCGGUGAUCUAGCCAUGGGCAGGUUGAAGGUUGGGUAACACUAACUGGAGGACCGAACCGACUAAUGUUGAAAAAUUAGCGGAUGACCUGUGGCUGGGGGUGAAAGGCCAAUCAAACCGGGAGAUAGCUGGUUCUCCCCGAAAGCUAUUUAGGUAGCGCCUCGUGAACUCAUCUCCGGGGGUAGAGCACUGUUUCGGCUAGGGGGCCAUCCCGGCUUACCAACCCGAUGCAAACUGCGAAUACCGGAGAAUGUUAUCACGGGAGACACACGGCGGGUGCUAACGUCCGUCGUGAAGAGGGAAACAACCCAGACCGCCAGCUAAGGUCCCAAAGUCAUGGUUAAGUGGGAAACGAUGUGGGAAGGCCCAGACAGCCAGGAUGUUGGCUUAGAAGCAGCCAUCAUUUAAAGAAAGCGUAAUAGCUCACUGGUCGAGUCGGCCUGCGCGGAAGAUGUAACGGGGCUAAACCAUGCACCGAAGCUGCGGCAGCGACACUUUAGUGUUGUUGGGUAGGGGAGCGUUCUGUAAGCCGUUGAAGGUGUCCUGU
Molecule: ribosomal RNA, 1317 nt
Filed under: Salmonella enterica
Lineage: Bacteria; Pseudomonadati; Pseudomonadota; Gammaproteobacteria; Enterobacterales; Enterobacteriaceae
Description: partial 23S ribosomal RNA
Rfam family: Bacterial large subunit ribosomal RNA
Source: RNAcentral